Felis catus (domestic cat) is the source of this 229-nucleotide long non-coding RNA. RefSeq lists it as uncharacterized. The transcript has 2 exons. The record is from RefSeq and is a predicted model, not a curated record. Lineage: Eukaryota; Metazoa; Chordata; Mammalia; Carnivora; Felidae.
AGGCCAGCAGGCCGUGGCCCAGGCGCACCUUGCGCACAUCAGUGAUGGCAUAUGCAUGUCCCUUCACCAGGCCACAUGCCAGGCGGGCCUCCAUGUCUGCUGCUGUCACUGCCUGCAGGAGGACACAGUUGCCCAGAGAGAGAGCCAGACUACGGACCCACCACUGGUGCCUGCACUGAGCCCCAGCUCCCCCACCUGAAAUAAAAGCGGUCGAUGAAAUAAGACAAUC